Molecule: non-coding RNA, 129 nt
Filed under: Pseudopedinella elastica
Lineage: Eukaryota; Dictyochophyceae; Pedinellales
Source: RNAcentral
UGGCCAUGGCCUUGUGCGGCUUGGCUACGAGUAGCACCCAGCUUUACUGGUUCACCGUGGCGCUCGGAGUCGCUCAAGGGCCGCUGUUCCCGACGUCAAUGGCCUACCUGUCCAAAUGGCUUCCUCCAA